This 492-nucleotide ribosomal RNA is filed under the name uncultured bacterium. Its description in RNAcentral is "partial 16S ribosomal RNA". It matches the Rfam family "Bacterial small subunit ribosomal RNA", at positions 29 to 507 of the family's 1533-position model. The record is from RNAcentral.
AGUGAACGCUGGCGGUAGGCCUAAUACAUGCAAGUCGAACGGCAGCACAGUAAGAGCUUGCUCUUACGGGUGGCGAGUGGCGGACGGGUGAGGAAUACAUCGGAAUCUACUUUUUCGGGGGUGACAACGGAGGGACACUUAUGCUAAUACCGCAUAUGACCUACCGGUGGAAGCAGGGGAUCAUCGGACCUUUCGCGUCUGUUUGAGCCGAUGUCGGAUUAGCUAGUUGGCGGGGUAAAGGCCCACCAAGGCGACGAUCCGUAGCUGGUCUGAGAGGAUGAUCAGCCACACUGGAACUGAGACACGGUCCAGACUCCUACGGGAGGCAGCAGUGGGGAAUAUUGGACAAUGGGCGCAAGCCUGAUCCAGCCAUACCGCGUGGGUGAAGAAGGCCUUCGGGUUGUAAAGCCCUUUUGUUGGGAAAGAAAAGCAGCAGGUUAAUACCCCGCUGUUCUGACGGUACCCAAAGAAUAAGCACCGGCUAACUUCGUG